This 494-nucleotide ribosomal RNA is filed under the name uncultured bacterium. RNAcentral's name for it is "partial 16S ribosomal RNA". It matches the Rfam family "Bacterial small subunit ribosomal RNA", at positions 28 to 523 of the family's 1533-position model. The record is from RNAcentral.
GAUGAACGCUGGCGGCGUGCUUAACACAUGCAAGUCGAACGGGAAUCACUUCAUUGAGACUUCGGUGGAUUUGAUUUGAUUCUAGUGGCGGACGGGUGAGUAACGCGUGGGUAACCUGCCUUAUACAGGGGGAUAACAGUCAGAAAUGACUGCUAAUACCGCAUAAGCGCACAGGACCGCAUGGUCCGGUGUGAAAAACUCCGGUGGUAUAAGAUGGACCCGCGUUGGAUUAGCUUGUUGGUGGGGUAACGGCCUACCAAGGCGACGAUCCAUAGCCGGCCUGAGAGGGUGAACGGCCACAUUGGGACUGAGACACGGCCCAGACUCCUACGGGAGGCAGCAGUGGGGAAUAUUGCACAAUGGGGGAAACCCUGAUGCAGCGACGCCGCGUGAAGGAAGAAGUAUCUCGGCAUGUAAACUUCUAUCAGCAGGGAAGAUAGUGACGGUACCUGACUAAGAAGCCCCGGCUAACUACGUGCCAGCAGCCGCGGUAA